UGAAUCGAUGAAAUCGUUUAAUUCCCAAUCCCAUUUUUAUCGCAACCCUAACCCAAUUCGAUGAAAUUGUUUAAUUCGAUUGAGAUGAUAUCGACUCUGCUUUGCAGAUUACGAUUGAGGGUUUUGCAGAUUAUGAUUUCAUCGCCCCAUACAUUCUCAUCGAUUCCCUCCUGGAGUGACGAUUUAGAAGUUGACGAUUCACCCCCAAUCCAUGCUUCAAAUACGGCUAGGAUUCCAAUCAAGGUAAUUUUUUUGGUUUCCAUCUUCAUUUGGUUGGUUAGAGUUUAUGAGUUUUCUAUGGGUUAACAUUCAAAUUAAUUGUUUCUGUGUGUUGAUUCCUUUCAAAAUCUUCAUUUAUGUGGGUUAGGGUUCUUGUGUGCAGAAACUUCAUCUCCUUUCUUCACCGAAUAGGGAUGGCCCUGUUUCCUGGUUUGAAUAAAUCUUCUUCUAAUUCCUUUUUUCGCUUUGUUUAUUUAAUGUUUUCAUAGAUUUAUCUAUUUUUUAAUUUCAUUAUUGUUUUACACAACGUCGAAUUAUUGUUCUACACCAAGUCUGUUUUUAUUAUCUAGAGGUCUAAUUACUUAAAUGUUUUUAAGUCGAACUGAAGAUGAUUCUGCUGUUACCGGGUACAUUUACAUUUUGAUUUUUGCACACUCUAUAUCUCGAAGCAAAGCUGUUUUUAUAUGCUUACAGAACAACUUGUCAUAUGUUUCGGUUGUGUUUUCUUUCUUGACCUAUUCAGCAGACAUCAGAGAUGACUACAACAAUGGUUGAUCUUCAAAUCAUCCCAUUACAUAACUGCACCAAAUGUAUAAGAAAGGUCAAAAAGACACUUUGUCGGUUUGAUGGUGUCAAAUUGUUAGAUGUCGACUCUGAAAAUGGGAAAUUCACCAUCGAAACUACUAGACACCCUGAAGAAAUCAGGGAUGCUCUUCAACACAAGUUUGCUGGGAAAUUCUUUUUUUCUGUCCAAAAGGAUCAACCAUUCGAAUCCAUUCUCGACUUUGGUGUUUUGUUGAUUGGGAUGGAGCCUUAAGGUCGGUAGAAACAUUAACAUUCUACUUAAAUUAGGGAAUCAGGUGACGAGAAAUCGUUCCAUGAUUCUAGGUUUUGAUUACUUGGAAGUUCUAUUUUCCACACAUUCAAUCUCAAAGACUGGUUUCAUUUUGGGACAAAAGUUUUUUAUCUGUAGUAGGACAUAACACAGUUUUUGCUUGCACACAUUUCGAUUUCUUGCAAAUAUCAAUAAUUUGAAUUGAAACAAUUUGUUCCAGGCUGACCACCAGAUAUAUAUAUAUAUAUAUAUAUAUAUCGAAUCUAAUACACACCGUUCUUUCUUACAACUUGUAUUUGACGAGUUACAAGAGAGAGUUCGUGAAAGGGUGGAGAAAGAAACGGAAAGGCGUAAAUGUCUUGCAGAUGACUUGAGCACUUCUAAGGAAAUUACUUCAUCUUCACGAUGGGAGGACCUUAAACCCCUAUUUGAAGAUAUACUGGAAAGCUGUAAAAUCUGGAUCAUGAUUAUGUUUUUUCUGAUGACUCCGGGCCAUGUAUUCAACACUUACCGGUGAUUAUUUGUUGCAUGCGACAUUUGCAGGUCUAACCUGUAAUCUACAAUAGUUCUGUUUUGAACCCGAUAAGGUGAGCUUCAUUCUUACCAUCUUCAGGAUGAUAGGAUGACUUGGACGAUAAUAAGGAAGCAAAACAGAGAAGCAUUGUCGAAGUUCAAGCAUUCAAGUGUUUGGUAAAUGAUACCUACAGUCAGGAGUUAUGAACAGUCGAUUUCACAAACCACAAGUCUGGACGCAGUCUUAAGUUUGAUUGCACAGUCCAGACUUUAGACAACCAAUUUUCAAGGUAAAUCAUGCCUUUUCUAAAGAGGAUUAAUCAAAUGAAGAACAUGUAGUCCAUACAAGAGUUGGGAACAAUGAUUUCAAGAGUCUGAGACUUUAGCAUAUGGCUGUUAGCUUAAAAAGGCAGAUUUUAUUCAAGUCUCCUGUGUGGCAAAAAAAAUUAUGAAAUUCUUAUUCAAUAUUAUUAUAUA
Cynara cardunculus var. scolymus (artichoke) is the source of this 2044-nucleotide long non-coding RNA. RefSeq lists it as uncharacterized. The transcript has 6 exons. NCBI's taxonomy places the organism in Eukaryota, Viridiplantae, Streptophyta, Magnoliopsida, Asterales, Asteraceae. The record is from RefSeq and is a predicted model, not a curated record.